Molecule: long non-coding RNA, 769 nt
Organism: Choloepus didactylus (southern two-toed sloth)
Lineage: Eukaryota; Metazoa; Chordata; Mammalia; Pilosa; Megalonychidae
Exons: 3
Source: RefSeq, a predicted model, not a curated record
CGGCCUUCCUCGGGGCUCGUGCAGCGGGGGACCCGGGGGACCCCAGGACGCCCGCCUGGGCUUCGGGGGCUCCCGCGCGCUUCUUCAGGGCAGUGGCCGCGCCCCGUGGGAGCGGGGCGGGAAGACGGCGGCGGGCCGCGGGGGCCGGGGCGGUGGGCUCCGCCGGGCCUUCCCCACGCCGGGGGGUCGCCAGGGGCGUCCCGGGGCCCGCAGGUGAGGCCGGGGCUGCCGUGGGCGCCGCCGAGGCUUCCGAGCGAAACCGAAAUCGCCGUCCUCGGAGCGGCGGCAGCAGCGGGGCCCUGCAGGGAGCUGCCCCGCCUGGGAAGAAUUAGCUCCCUCAGUCCUCAGACGCGGGUGGGCGGCGGCGCGGCCUCCACCGCCGCUCUCCGCCGGAGAAGCGGGCUCGCAGCUCGCCUGGGCCCUGGCUGAGCACCGGGGCUCCGGCCCUGCCGCUCCACUGACAGCUUUGGUGGCGUUGGACCUGCCUCGUCAGCAUCUGCUCUCCCCUGACGGGAAAACGAGGAAGGGAGGAAUGGCCGUGGACUUGCUGCCUGCUCAGCAGACGGUACAUUUCUUAUCGAAGAAAAUUGUGGAGAAACCAGAAGCCAUGCAAGUUAUCCCAAGUCCUGGGCUUGUGGAGGGGCUGCUAAGGAAUGUGUGUCCUUUGUCCCCAAGCCCCUCUCCUUUCACUCCAGACUCACUUCUUGACUAAAACUUUUGAAUCAACUCUGAACGUGUAAUUCACGCUGCAAUAAAUGCUUGGUGAUGA